This is a non-coding RNA of Pelobates cultripes (western spadefoot toad), 377 nucleotides long. The record is from the annotation of a GenBank genome assembly. NCBI's taxonomy places the organism in Eukaryota, Metazoa, Chordata, Amphibia, Anura, Pelobatidae.
GGGUGUGUGAGGGGUACUGGCUGACCUAGAGGCCAAAAUGGAUAAGCUGUUCGCCAGGUUUUGGAGGAAGAUGGCAAUCCGGGAGCAAAAGGCUAAAGCACACAUUAUCGCCACCAUGGCACCGGUGUACCCCAAGCGCGAACACACGCCUCCUCGGGUAAACCAAGCCUGCACACGGCGCUGGGGUCGGCGAACUAGAAGAGCCCGAAAGCCCAAACGACUUUUAAUGCGGUUGGAAGCCAAUCCAAGUGCCUGGUGAACCUGAACCUACCCGAGAGGCAGCAGCGGCACACGGUGCCAAUUAAGGACCAAACACGGCCGUGGGCUCCCGGGCAAACUACACGGAACUCCCCAGCCGAUGCCAUCAAACAUCAGAC